GGAGAGGUGGCCGAGUGGUUGAAGGCGGCGGUCUUGAAAACCGCAGGGCGAGAGCCUCGUGGGUUCGAAUCCCACCCUCUCCGCCA
Molecule: transfer RNA, 86 nt
Filed under: Chloroflexota bacterium
Lineage: Bacteria; Bacillati; Chloroflexota
Description: tRNA-Ser
Rfam family: tRNA
About the family: Transfer RNA (tRNA) molecules are approximately 80 nucleotides in length. Their secondary structure includes four short double-helical elements and three loops (D, anti-codon, and T loops).
Source: RNAcentral